RNAcentral lists this ribosomal RNA (253 nucleotides) under uncultured bacterium. RNAcentral describes it as "partial 16S ribosomal RNA". It matches the Rfam family "Bacterial small subunit ribosomal RNA", at positions 524 to 776 of the family's 1533-position model. The record is from RNAcentral.
UACGUAGGGUGCGAGCGUUAAUCGGAAUUACUGGGCGUAAAGCGUGCGUAGGCGGUUCGUUAAGUCAGUUGUGAAAGCCCCGGGCUCAACCUGGGAAUUGCGGUUGAAACUGGCGAACUAGAAUCUGGCAGAGGGGGGUGGAAUUCCACGUGUAGCAGUGAAAUGCGUAGAGAUGUGGAGGAACACCGGUGGCGAAGGCGGGUCUCUGGGCAGUAACUGACGCUGAGGAGCGAAAGCGUGGGGAGCGAACAGG